This 394-nucleotide ribosomal RNA is filed under the name Aureococcus sp. Its description in RNAcentral is "partial small subunit ribosomal RNA". It matches the Rfam family "Eukaryotic small subunit ribosomal RNA", at positions 582 to 975 of the family's 1831-position model. The record is from RNAcentral. Lineage: Eukaryota; Pelagophyceae; Pelagomonadales; Pelagomonadaceae.
AUUCCAGCUCCAAUAGCGUAUAUUAAUGUUGUUGCAGUUAAAAAGCUCGUAGUUGGAUUCCUGGCACGGGGUAGCCGGUCCGCCUUGCAAAAGGUGCGCACUGAGCGGCCUCGGCCAUCCUUGCGAUGGUCUAUCCUGGCAUUCAGUUGUCGGGGUGGGGAUUCGCGACGUUUACUGUGAAAAAAUCAGAGUGUUCAACGCAGGCUUACGCCUUGAAUACAUUAGCAUGGAAUAAUGAGAUAGGACCUUGGCGGUCUAUUUUGUUGGUUUGCACGCCGAGGUAAUGAUUAAAAGGGACGGUUGGGGUUCUUCGUAUUCAAUUGUCAGAGGUGAAAUUCUUGGAUUUAUGGAAGACGAACUGCUGCGAAAGCGUCGAACAAGGACGUUCUCAUUG